This 253-nucleotide ribosomal RNA is filed under the name uncultured bacterium. RNAcentral describes it as "partial 16S ribosomal RNA". It matches the Rfam family "Bacterial small subunit ribosomal RNA", at positions 524 to 776 of the family's 1533-position model. The record is from RNAcentral.
UACGUAGGGUGCGAGCGUUAAUCGGAAUUACUGGGCGUAAAGCGUGCGCAGGCGGUUUGCUAAGCUUGAUGUGAAAGCCCCGGGCUUAACCUGGGAAUGGCAUUGAGGACUGGCAGGCUAGAGUGUGGCAGAGGGGGGUGGAAUUCCACGUGUAGCAGUGAAGUGCGUAGAGAUGUGGAGGAACACCGAUGGCGAAGGCAGCCCCCUGGGCUAACACUGACGCUCAGGCACGAAAGCGUGGGGAGCAAACAGG